Molecule: non-coding RNA, 94 nt
Filed under: Setaria italica (foxtail millet)
Lineage: Eukaryota; Viridiplantae; Streptophyta; Magnoliopsida; Poales; Poaceae
Description: Small nucleolar RNA Z247
Rfam family: Small nucleolar RNA Z247
About the family: Z247 is a member of the C/D class of snoRNA which contain the C (UGAUGA) and D (CUGA) box motifs.
Source: Rfam by way of RNAcentral
AAAGUUAAAGAUGAUGAGGUGAUAUCCUUUAUCCUUACUGGAUUGGACAAUGAAUACAAUCCUAUCAUCACAUCUAUCAUGGGGUGUCCUGAUC